This 433-nucleotide ribosomal RNA is filed under the name uncultured bacterium. RNAcentral's name for it is "partial 16S ribosomal RNA". It matches the Rfam family "Bacterial small subunit ribosomal RNA", at positions 29 to 507 of the family's 1533-position model. The record is from RNAcentral.
AACGAACGCUGGCGGCAGGCUUAACACAUGCAAGUCGAACGCACCUUUCGGGGUGAGUGGCAGACGGGUGAGUAACGCGUGGGAAUCUACCCUUCUCUACGGGAUAGCUCCGGGAAACUGGAAUUAAUACCGUAUACGUCCUGAGGGAGAAAGAUUUAUCGGGGAAGGAUGAGCCCGCGUUGGAUUAGCUAGUUGGUGGGGUAAAGGCCUACCAAGGCGACGAUCCAUAGCUGGUCUAAGAGGAUGAUCAGCCACAUAGGGACUGAGACACGGCCCAAACUCCUACGGGAGGCAGCAGUGGGGAAUGUUGGACAAUGGGCGCAAGCCUGAUCCAGCCAUGCCGCGUGAGUGAUGAAGGCCCUAGGGUUGUAAAGCUCUUUCAGUGGGGACGAUAAUGACGGUACCCACAGAAGAAGCCCCGGCUAACUUCGUG